Molecule: ribosomal RNA, 367 nt
Filed under: Streptococcus sp. oral taxon C08
Lineage: Bacteria; Bacillati; Bacillota; Bacilli; Lactobacillales; Streptococcaceae
Description: bacterial SSU rRNA
Rfam family: Bacterial small subunit ribosomal RNA
Source: RNAcentral
GGGGGAUAACUAUUGGAACCGAUAGCUAAUACCCCAUAAGAGUAGAUGUCGCAUGACAUUUGCUUAAAAGGUGCAAUUGCAUCACUACCAGAUGGACCUGCGUUGUAUUAGCUAGUUGGUGAGGUAACGGCUCACCAAGGCAACGAUACAUAGCCGACCUGAGAGGGUGAUCGGCCACACUGGGACUGAGACACGGCCCAGACUCCUACGGGAGGCAGCAGUAGGGAAUCUUCGGCAAUGGACGGAAGUCUGACCGAGCAACGCCGCGUGAGUGAAGAAGGUUUUCGGAUCGUAAAGCUCUGUUGUAAGAGAAGAACGAGUGUGAGAGUGGAAAGUUCACACUGAGACGUAUCUACCAGAAAGGACG